UACAGAGGGUGCAAGCGUUGUUCGGAAUUAUUGGGCGUAAAGGGAGUGUAGGCGGUGAGUUAAGUCUUCUGUGAAAUCUACGGGCUUAGCCUGUAACGUGCAGAGGAAACUGGCUGACUUGAGUAUCGGAGAGGGCAGGGGAAUACCCAGUGUAGAGGUGAAAUUCGUAGAGAUUGGGUGGAACACCAGUGGCGAAGGCGCCUGCCUGGCUGAUGACUGACGCUGAGACUCGAAAGCAUGGGGAGCAAACAGG
RNAcentral lists this ribosomal RNA (253 nucleotides) under uncultured bacterium. RNAcentral describes it as "partial 16S ribosomal RNA". It matches the Rfam family "Bacterial small subunit ribosomal RNA", at positions 524 to 776 of the family's 1533-position model. The record is from RNAcentral.